This 21-nucleotide non-coding RNA is filed under the name Caenorhabditis elegans. The record is from RNAcentral. Lineage: Eukaryota; Metazoa; Nematoda; Chromadorea; Rhabditida; Rhabditidae.
UAAACUGAUACAAAAAUAUAU